Molecule: long non-coding RNA, 359 nt
Filed under: Setaria viridis
Lineage: Eukaryota; Viridiplantae; Streptophyta; Magnoliopsida; Poales; Poaceae
Description: long non-coding RNA (SVIR_LNC010802)
Source: RNAcentral
UUUUGCACAAUCAUCUGAAGCAGUCGAGCCUGUUCGGCUCCUGAAUUUAUGAGGCUGGCUAUGGCAUCAACCAGCGUUGGGGCUCUGGGUAAGUUUUCCUCGUGGCCCCCUGACCCCGAAGCUCGAGGACCUCUCGGAUCCGUCAUGCUGUCAAAAUCAAACAAAGUAUUAAUAUCUAAGUCAUAGUUUGCCAACAGUUCCAUGAGCAUGCUAGUAUUUCACACAUCACAACAUGACUAUUGUAAUUACACACAAACCACACCUAUAUACAUUAUUAUUUAUAUUACAUGACCCGGAGUUGGUUUUUACAAAACCACCACACUACUCCGUCCCACUGCGUUUAUUUUACAUAACUACAC